UGCAGUCGAACGGGGAGUUAUUUAUAACUCCUAGUGGCGAACGGGUGAGUAACGCGUAGACAACCUGCCUCUAAAUUGGGGACAACACCGCGAAAGUGGUGCUAAUACCGAAUGUGGUAUCUUGAUCGCAUGAUCGAGAUAAGAAAGAUGGCCUCUAUAUAUAAGCUAUCGAUUAGAGAUGGGUCUGCGUCUGAUUAGCUAGUUGGUGAGGUAACGGCUCACCAAGGCGACGAUCAGUAGCCGGUCUGAGAGGAUGAACGGCCACACUGGGACUGAGACACGGCCCAGACUCCUACGGGAGGCAGCAGUGGGGAAUCUUCCGCAAUGGACGAAAGUCUGACGGAGCAACGCCGCGUGAGUGAAGAAGGUUUUCGGACUGUAAAGCUCUGUCGUUUGGGACGAACGUGGAUUGUGUAAAUAAUGCAAUCUAAUGACGGUACCAAAGGAGGAAGCCACGGCUAACUACGUGCCAGCAGCCGCGGUAAUACGUAGGUGGCAAGCGUUGUCCGGAAUUAUUGGGCGUAAAGGGCGUGUAGGUGGAUCUUUAAGUCGUGUGUCUAAGUGCGG
RNAcentral lists this ribosomal RNA (567 nucleotides) under uncultured bacterium. RNAcentral's name for it is "bacterial SSU rRNA". It matches the Rfam family "Bacterial small subunit ribosomal RNA", at positions 56 to 605 of the family's 1533-position model. The record is from RNAcentral.